GCCCCGGUAGCUCAGCUGGCAGAGCGACAGACGUGGGAGCUGUUGGUCGAGGGUUCGAAUCCCUCCCGGGGCU
This 73-nucleotide transfer RNA is filed under the name archaeon. RNAcentral describes it as "tRNA-Pro". It matches the Rfam family "tRNA". Rfam says of the family: Transfer RNA (tRNA) molecules are approximately 80 nucleotides in length. Their secondary structure includes four short double-helical elements and three loops (D, anti-codon, and T loops). The record is from RNAcentral.